UCCACCUACAUCCACACCUCCUCCUGGUUCCACCUCCAUCACUCUUCCUCCUGUUCUCUCUGUGUUGUCAUGUGUUGGAUCAGUCUGUGUUGUGGUUCUACUGGUGUUACUGGUUCUGCUGGUGAGACGAUGUGUUCACAGAAAACCUGAAGGUGAGACUCAGACUUCCUGAUCUUACAAGAGUUGGUUUGCUGAAUGAUUUAACAAAAAAUGUACUAUUUUUACUUUGUUGGAUUGACAUUCUUUUUCCAUUGAAGUAAUUGCAAGUUGUUGAAAAUUACAAACAUAGAAAUAUGUUCUAAAAUAAUUUCUUCAUGCAAGUAAGAGUAAUGACAGUUGUUAAAUUUCAUUAUUUCAGCUAUACAACAAGAAGCUGCAAAUGAUAAUUUCACAGACAUCACAUAUAGUGACAUCAAAUCAUCACAUCAUCAGCAAAGGGCAAUCAAACACCUCAGAGACAUUGAUACAGCUGUGGUGUACUCAACAGUGAGAACUGAAGAUGUCACUUAUGGACAAAUAGCCAUCAAACCAAAGAAGACCAGAGGAAACAAGCAUGAUACAGGAAACAGCAAAGGCAUCAUUUGAUACUGUGAACUGCACAGCAGAGCUUCAGUGCAGGAUGUGUCUGUUUGAGACUGAAACACUUUAUGUCCUUGGACACUCAGAACCCAACCAGCAGCAGGUGACAUGGUGCAAAUGUUCAUUUUAAUGAAGUGUUUAAUCUUGUAAUCUUCUUCUCAUUUUGUAAUGUAAUGUAAUGUUCUGUAAUGGCAUAGACUCAACCACAGGUCACCUUGCAAUAGCCACAUAUCAGGUGUGGUCAAACCUGUGUCAUGAGUGAGAAACAAGUUUCAAACUGAUUCAGAUUAGGCCCAUUUUGUCUUGGUACUCCCUUUUAUUAGCAAGAUGAAUUUCUAUUUAAUAUGAGGUCGAUUAAAAAAAACCCAAAAAAAACAAAAACAGACUGAAUGUAUCAAAUGUUAUUUUUUGAUAUUUAAUUUUGUCUUCUCUAGAGUCCUGAAUGUAAAACCAAAGCAGCAACUUCACUACAGUGUUUUCUAUUUUGGUUAAUAAUAGCUUUCAUGCUGUGAGAACAUGUUUGCUUUGUGCUUUGUGGUGAAGUGCAUCAGUUUGUAGAAACGGAAAAUAAAAGCUCUGUGGUCGUUCACCUUUU
Long non-coding RNA from Oreochromis aureus, 1174 nucleotides. RefSeq lists it as uncharacterized. The transcript is spliced from 3 exons. Lineage: Eukaryota; Metazoa; Chordata; Actinopteri; Cichliformes; Cichlidae. The record is from RefSeq and is a predicted model, not a curated record.